This 396-nucleotide ribosomal RNA is filed under the name uncultured bacterium. RNAcentral's name for it is "partial 16S ribosomal RNA". It matches the Rfam family "Bacterial small subunit ribosomal RNA", at positions 360 to 774 of the family's 1533-position model. The record is from RNAcentral.
AAUAUUGCACAAUGGAGGAAACUCUGAUGCAGUGACACCGCGUGAAUGAUGAAGGCUUUCGGGACGAAACGUUCUGUCCUAGGGAACGAUAAUGACGGUACACUAGGAGGAAGCCCCGGCUAACUACGUUCCAGCAGCCGCGGUAAUACGUAGGGGGCAAGCGUUGUCCGGAUUUAUUGGGAGUAAAGGGUCCGCAGGCGGCCUUUUAAGUCAGAUGUGAAAGACUACAGCUCAACUGUGGUAAGCAUUUGAAACUGAAAGGCUUGAGUUAAGGAGAGGAAAGUGGAAUUCCUAGUGUAGCGGUGAAAUGCGUAGAUAUUAGGAGGAAUACCAGUGGCGAAGGCGACUUUCUGGACUUAUACUGACGCUGAGGAACGAAAGCGUGGGGAGCAAACA